UACGGAGGAUCCGAGCGUUAUCCGGAUUUAUUGGGUUUAAAGGGUGCGCAGGCGGGAGAUUAAGUCGGCGGUGAAAUUUUGCAGCUCAACUGUAAAAGUGCCUUCGAAACUGGUUUCCUUGAGUGUAGAUGAAGUAGGCGGAAUUUGUGGUGUAGCGGUGAAAUGCAUAGAUAUCACGAGGAACUCCGAUUGCGCAGGCAGCUUACUAAACUACUACUGACGCUCAGGCACGAAGGCGUGGGGAUCAAACAGGAUUAGAUACCCCCGUAGUCCCU
RNAcentral lists this ribosomal RNA (275 nucleotides) under uncultured prokaryote. RNAcentral describes it as "partial 16S ribosomal RNA". It matches the Rfam family "Bacterial small subunit ribosomal RNA", at positions 524 to 798 of the family's 1533-position model. The record is from RNAcentral.